Long non-coding RNA from Papaver somniferum (opium poppy), 2162 nucleotides. RefSeq lists it as uncharacterized. The record is from RefSeq and is a predicted model, not a curated record. The transcript has 2 exons. NCBI's taxonomy places the organism in Eukaryota, Viridiplantae, Streptophyta, Magnoliopsida, Ranunculales, Papaveraceae.
UGAUGGAUUGGUAUCUGGGGAGAGAGAAAAGGAGUGAGGAAAAACCAGAAAACUUCUCAAUCUUAGAUCUACGAUUUCUCUCUAUUCUUCCACUCAAAUUCUUAUAUUUGUUGUGUCUUCUUUCCUUUUUCUUGUGAUCUAUAAGAUGAGGUGAAUUUUUUUUGUUUUUGGUCCGUGUUUGGAGGAAUAUGAUUAGCUUCUUUUAACUACCAUGAUUGAUAAUGAAUUAAGCUUUGGCUUUGCUAAUUUCCCUCCUUUGAUUGAUUCUAACGGAAGUGGAAGUCUGAAGCACAACCCUAGCUAGCUCUAUUAGUGGUGCUAUUUCUGAAGAUUUAAUCCCUAAAAUGGCGGAAAUAAUAAAAGGGGUGGUGAGGAUGUUGUUACUGAAUUGACUCAUAAUAAGCAUGAGAUUGUUCUACAUGGGAAAGAAGAUGGGGGUUUUGAGUCAAACGGAACAGUGGGCUACUCUGCAAUUGGGGGUGUAUAAAAUACCGUCUCUAAAGAUUGAAGAACUUUGUUCCUUGUUGCUAAGCCUGUCAUCCCUCAACUUCCAAUUAAACUUUUUCCAUCUGCUGAGCUAAAUGGUAAGAGGGUGGUGGAUUAUGCAGCAGGUGAUUUCUCUGCAGGAAUCAAAGGAUGUGAGGAUUAUGUAAUCGGUUUUUGCAUGGGUAAACGACUUUCUUUUCCAGCAUUCAAGGAAGCUGUAAGCAAUCAUUGGAAAUUCAAGAAUGAAGUUGUUUUGGAAAUGCCGGUUGAAUAUCCAUGGAAACCCACCAAAUGUGAUUUGUGUAAAGUAUUUGGUCAUUCUUUUAAAAAUUGCACGAAGAAGCUGAAAUUAAGAUGGACAUCUAAGAAGAAUGGCUUGGAUCUUGAUAAAACUAAAUCAACAGUAAUGAAGAAUGUUGUCAGUGACAUUCAUGGAGAAAAUAUCAAGGAUUCAGAUGGUAGAAACACAACAGACAAUGAUGCUCAAAAUGAUUGGAAUGGGUAUGACAGAAGCCUCAGCUUCUCAAGAUAGUGGGGGUGGAAGUAAGGUAACAGAAAAGAAUACUCCCCAAAACUCUCAGAAGAGGGGUGAAGGGAGAAUGUCGGUCCUAAGAAGACUGAUGGCUUCCCAAAACCUUCAAAAGAAGCUAUUGUUAGUGAAAGUGUCUCUGCCCCAAUUGUGGUAAAAUCUAUGGAGCCAACUGUGAAGCAUAAUCUCUCUGAGAAGAGUUCGGUCAAGUCAGCAAGUAAUAGACAUGCGACUAUAGUCAUCAGCAUUGGGUCAACUCCUAAGUCAGUUGGGAUGCAAGAGAAAGGACACAAACACAGACCUUUUCAUUUGGCAAGUGACUUUCCAUACCAAUGGAAAGAUUUGUCUACGGAUAAGUCUGAUAAGAGAGACCACAAAGAAGAGGCGGCUAAUACAAGCGUUAAUGUAACUAAGGUUAGUAGCCCGAUAAAGAAUCAAUUUGUUCCAACAAAGACUCCUAUCAAGACCACUAGUAUCCAAAAGAAAGGUGAAGGACAAAAGGAGAAGCAUAAUUCCUUUCUUGUAGAGGGACUCCCUUCUUUCAAGCCUGGUAGUAUAAAGUUAUUUCAGGUUAUCAAGGAGACUUAGUAAAGAAUCAAGUAUUGACAAACGAUGAUGGUAACUGGAAGUUAGAAAUCUCCUAUUAAGGAGGUUGCAUUUGACAAGAAAGGCACUACAAAGUCUAAAAACGGUGUGAACAACACUUUUAGAGUGUUAAGCAACGAAAAUCAACAAUGAAGUCAAGAUCAUGAUAGAGUUUUAAUUGAAGAGUGUGAGGAAGAUAAUGAAGAAUUCUACGACGUAGAAGCCGAUAUACAUGCUCACUAUUUGGCUUAUGAAGACAAAAAUAAAAAGAAAACUGAAAAAGAACGUUCAAGGCUCAAAUGGAAUGGCGAAAUUCCAAAUCAGAAUUUGGGUAAAGACCAACGCUCUGCAUCUAGAAAGCAAAAGUAAUUUGCUUUUCUAGUUUGUGAUGUAUCAGGUUCUUUCUUUGUUAUUGCUUGGUUCAAGAGUUGGCUUUUGGCACUCUUUUAGUUUUGUUUUUGGUUUUUGGUGUUGUCAAUGCCCUCACUUUUGGACUCGCUUAGGCGCUUCUUUCCUGUACUCUUUUUUUAUUUUAAUGAAUCUAACCUUUCUAGUAAAAAAA